RNAcentral lists this transfer RNA (102 nucleotides) under Morchella conica CCBAS932. It matches the Rfam family "tRNA". From Rfam's summary of the family: Transfer RNA (tRNA) molecules are approximately 80 nucleotides in length. Lineage: Eukaryota; Fungi; Ascomycota; Pezizomycetes; Pezizales; Morchellaceae. The record is from Rfam by way of RNAcentral.
GGGGAUGUGGUUUAGUGGUAUAAUACCUCUUUAGCAGUUGGGCGUCCUUCAGGAUGUUCAAUAACCUAGAGGUGGUCCGGGGUUCGAUUCCCCGCGUCUCCA